Molecule: ribosomal RNA, 329 nt
Filed under: Salmonella enterica subsp. enterica serovar Infantis
Lineage: Bacteria; Pseudomonadati; Pseudomonadota; Gammaproteobacteria; Enterobacterales; Enterobacteriaceae
Also listed under: 1 other name
Description: bacterial LSU rRNA
Rfam family: Bacterial large subunit ribosomal RNA
Source: RNAcentral
CAUCCUCCAAGGCUAAAUACUCCUGACUGACCGAUAGUGAACCAGUACCGUGAGGGAAAGGCGAAAAGAACCCCGGCGAGGGGAGUGAAAAAGAACCUGAAACCGUGUACGUACAAGCAGUGGGAGCACAGGUUUACCUGUGUGACUGCGUACCUUUUGUAUAAUGGGUCAGCGACUUAUAUUCUGUAGCAAGGUUAACCGAAUAGGGGAGCCGGAGGGAAACCGAGUCUUAAUUGGGCGUUAAGUUGCAGGGUAUAGACCCGAAACCCGGUGAUCUAGCCAUGGGCAGGUUGAAGGUUGGGUAACACUAACUGGAGGACCGAACCGAC